CUGAAAAUGAACACUUCUCCAGCUUUAGUGACUGUGCUGUUGCUGUUCAUGCUUGAGAGGACACAUGGAAAUUCAGUGACCCAGAUGCAAGGUCAAGUGACCCUUUCAGAAGAGGAGUUUUUAUUUAUAAACUGUACCUAUUCAGCCUCAGGGUACCCGACUCUUUUCUGGUAUGUCCAAUAUCCUGGAGAAGGUCCACAGCUCCUUUUGAAAGUCACAACAGCCAACAACAAGGGAAGCAGCAGAGGUUUUGAAGCUACGUAUGAUAAAGGGACUACGUCCUUCCACUUGCAGAAAGCCUCGGUGCAGGAGUCAGACUCGGCUGUGUACUACUGUGCUCUGGGUCUUGUGGCUUCUCACAACUCAAUGCCUGCGGCCGCAGCAUGGGGUGCACACAGUCAAACUUCUGGAGUCCGCCUCUAUAAGAGGCCCUAG
This is a non-coding RNA of Mus pahari (shrew mouse), 435 nucleotides long. NCBI's taxonomy places the organism in Eukaryota, Metazoa, Chordata, Mammalia, Rodentia, Muridae. The record is from the annotation of a RefSeq genome assembly.